CAGCAGCAGCCGCGGGAAUACGGAGGGUGCAAGCGUUAAUCGGAAUUACUGGGCGUAAAGCGCACGCAGGCGGUCUGACAAGUCAGAUGUGAAAUCCCCGGGCUUAACCUGGGAACUGCAUUUGAAACUGUCAGGCUGGAGUCUUGUAGAGGGGGGUGGAAUUCCAGGUGUAGCGGUGAAAUGCGUAGAGAUCUGGAGGAAUACCGGUGGCGAAGGCGGCCCCCUGGACAAAGACUGACGCUCAGGUGCGAAAGCGUGGGGAGCAAACAGGAUUAGAUACCCCGGUAGUCCCUGUCUCUUAUAC
This 304-nucleotide ribosomal RNA is filed under the name uncultured bacterium. RNAcentral describes it as "partial 16S ribosomal RNA". It matches the Rfam family "Bacterial small subunit ribosomal RNA", at positions 506 to 807 of the family's 1533-position model. The record is from RNAcentral.